This 915-nucleotide ribosomal RNA is filed under the name uncultured archaeon. RNAcentral describes it as "bacterial SSU rRNA". It matches the Rfam family "Archaeal small subunit ribosomal RNA", at positions 1 to 922 of the family's 1478-position model. The record is from RNAcentral.
UCCCGGUUGAUCCUGCCGGAAAUUACUGCUAUCGAGGUUCGACUAAGCCAUGCGGGUCGAAUGUAGCAAUACAUGGCGAACUGCUCAGUAACACGUGGACAACCUGCCCUUAGGUUGGGUAUAAACCCGGGAAACUGGGUAUAAUACCCGAUAGGUCUCGAUUGCUGGAAUGCAUCGAGAUUUAAAGCUCCGGCGCCUAAGGAUGGGUCUGCGGCCUAUCAGGUAGUAGUGGGUGUAGCGUACCUACUAGCCUACGACGGGUACGGGUUGUGAGAGCAAGAGCCCGGAGAUGGAUUCUGAGACACGAAUCCAGGCCCUACGGGGUGCAGCAGGCGCGAAAACUUUGCAAUGCUGGCAACAGCGAUAAGGGAACCUCGAGUGCCAGGUUACAAAUCUGGCUGUCGAGAUGCCUAAAAAGCAUUUCAUAGCAAGGGCCGGGCAAGACCGGUGCCAGCCGCCGCGGUAACACCGGCGGCUCGAGUGGUAACCGUUAUUAUUGGGUCUAAAGGGUCUGUAGCCGGCCGGAUAAGUCUCUUGAGAAAUCUGGCAGCUUAACUGUCAGGCUUUCAGGAGAUACUGUCUGGCUCGAGGCCGGGAGAGGUGGGAGGUACUUCAGGGGUAGGGGUGAAAUCUUGUAAUCCUUGAAGGACCACCAGUGGCGAAGGCGUCUCACCAGAACGGACCUGACGGCAAGGGACGAAAGCUAGGGGCACGAACCGGAUUAGAUACCCGGGUAGUCCUGGCCGUAAACGAUACUCGCUAGGUGUCGGCCACGGUGCGACCGUUGUCGGUGCCGUAGGGAAGCCGUGGAGCGAGCCACCUGGGAAGUACGGCCGCAAGGCUGAAACUUAAAGGAAUUGGCGGGGGAGCACCACAACGGGUGGAGCUUGCGGUUUAAUUGGAUUCAACGCCGGG